UACGUAGGGGGCAAGCGUUGUCCGGAAUCAUUGGGCGUAAAGCGCGUGUAGGCGGCCCGAUAAGUCCGCUGUGAAAGUCCAGGGCUCAACCCUGGAAUGCCGGUGGAUACUGUCGGGCUCGAGUCCGGAAGAGGCGAGUGGAAUUCCUGGUGUAGCGGUGAAAUGCGCAGAUAUCAGGAGGAACACCAAUGGCGAAGGCAGCUCGCUGGGACGGUACUGACGCUGAGACGCGAAAGCCAGGGGAGCGAACGGG
RNAcentral lists this ribosomal RNA (253 nucleotides) under uncultured bacterium. RNAcentral's name for it is "partial 16S ribosomal RNA". It matches the Rfam family "Bacterial small subunit ribosomal RNA", at positions 524 to 776 of the family's 1533-position model. The record is from RNAcentral.